UACGUAGGUGGCAAGCGUUGUCCGGAUUUACUGGGUGUAAAGGGUGCGCAGGCGGGACUGCAAGUUGGAUGUGAAACUCCGAGGCUCAACCUCGGAACUGCAUCCAAAACUGUGGUUCUUGAGUGGAGUAGAGGUAAGCGGAAUUCCGAGUGUAGCGGUGAAAUGCGUAGAUAUUCGGAGGAACACCAGUGGCGAAGGCGGCUUACUGGGCUCUAACUGACGCUGAGGCACGAAAGUGUGGGUAGCAAACAGG
This 253-nucleotide unclassified non-coding RNA is filed under the name uncultured Oscillospiraceae bacterium. RNAcentral describes it as "contains 16S-23S intergenic spacer region". It matches the Rfam family "Bacterial small subunit ribosomal RNA", at positions 524 to 776 of the family's 1533-position model. Lineage: Bacteria; Bacillati; Bacillota; Clostridia; Eubacteriales; Oscillospiraceae. The record is from RNAcentral.